CCAUCGCCUCCACCAGCGGCAACUCCACCGUAAAUUGUAUCUCGAACACUUCACCGUAACCAAUUCUCUCCGGUGCUGACUCAACCGCCGGCCUCAAAUUCGCUCUGUCGGCCGACAAAUACUCCGGCGAAAAUGCUUCCAAUCGGAGCUCAGUCGGAAAAUCACCAGAAUAUUUGUUGAAGUAAUGUGGAUUGCUUCCGGCCACCAGUACCCGCCCAUCCGGCAGG
This 227-nucleotide unclassified non-coding RNA is filed under the name Hevea brasiliensis (rubber tree). The record is from RNAcentral. Lineage: Eukaryota; Viridiplantae; Streptophyta; Magnoliopsida; Malpighiales; Euphorbiaceae.